RNAcentral lists this ribosomal RNA (122 nucleotides) under uncultured Bacillota bacterium. RNAcentral's name for it is "uncultured Firmicutes bacterium partial 16S ribosomal RNA". Lineage: Bacteria; Bacillati; Bacillota. The record is from RNAcentral.
ACUCUUACGGGAGGCAGCAGUGGGGAAUCCUGCACAAUGGGGGAAACCAAGAAGCCGCAACGCCGGUAAAGCAAUGAUGUCCUUCGGAAGUAAUUUCUUUCUACCCUGACGAAAUGACGUAC